This is a long non-coding RNA of Perognathus longimembris pacificus (Pacific pocket mouse), 115 nucleotides long. RefSeq lists it as uncharacterized. Lineage: Eukaryota; Metazoa; Chordata; Mammalia; Rodentia; Heteromyidae. The transcript has 3 exons. The record is from RefSeq and is a predicted model, not a curated record.
CUCUUGCCACUAGGCCAUAUCCCCAGCCCCAUCUUGAACAGUCUUGAUGUAACAGAGAAUUGUAUAUCUUUAGUAAGAACUAGGAUGGCUUCCCUGGCAUUUUGGACCCAUGGAU